UACAGAGGGGGCAAGCGUUGUCCGGAAUCAUUGGGCGUAAAGAGCGCGUAGGCGGCCCUGUAAGUCCGCUGUGAAAGUCAAGGGCUCAACCCUUGGAUGCCGGUGGAUACUGCAGGGCUAGAGUCCGGAAGAGGCGAGUGGAAUUCCUGGUGUAGCGGUGGAAUGCGCAGAUAUCAGGAGGAACACCGGUGGCGAAGGCGGGUCUCUGGGCAGUAACUGACGCUGAGGAGCGAAAGCGUGGGGAGCGAACAGG
This 253-nucleotide ribosomal RNA is filed under the name uncultured bacterium. Its description in RNAcentral is "partial 16S ribosomal RNA". It matches the Rfam family "Bacterial small subunit ribosomal RNA", at positions 524 to 776 of the family's 1533-position model. The record is from RNAcentral.